UGCUAGAAAUGGUGGACCGUCUUGUCGAAUGAUGCAAUUUUCUUGUUAUGCAGAAGGAGAAUUACAAAUCUGACAAAUAGGUUUUAUCGCGCCCGAGUUUCCUUUAAUAAAGUUCUUCUUUCUUAAAAAGAGACAUGUUCUUUCCGUUUUUGGAAAGUGACAUAUUUGUCAGGCUUGUGAUUCUCCUUUGAUAGCAUAGAAAAUAGUAUCAAUCGGUAAGUGGAUCUCCAUGCGUCUGAGUCGGAUAAAGAAACGAGUAUUUGAUCGGACAUUUUUCCGGCGCCGGCGAUCUUUCCCCGGUUUUUCAGGAUUUCCGGUGAUGCUUUUUAAAGAAGUUGUUCUUUUUAUUCAAAACCCCUAAUUGAUUAUCCGUUCGAAUUAAAUCUUGUUGUUUUUUUUGUGAGUACGUUUCAGCUUUUUGAAACCCUAGUAAGCUGCUUCAGUUUGAAUCCCAAAUUUGAACCCUAAAUUUGUGUAACUAAUAGACCAUUAAGAGCUUGCUUAAACUGUUCUUAAUUGAUUGGACUAAUUUUUUUCUUGAAGUAGAAACUAAUUUGCCUGAUAAAUUUUUUCUUGAAAGUUUAGUUUUUUUUGUAUGUGCUGUGAGUUUAACAAGCAUUUCUGAUUUUAAUAAAGUAACUUUGUGCUAUGAGAAGCAUUUAACUAGGCUGCUUUAGUGUUCACUUCUAAUUUAGUUUUCACAUUUUUACUUCUUUUGCAAUACUUGUUGGCUAUUCUUCAGUAUUGUAAUGAUUAGUUUCAUUUAUUUCCUAAAGUUUGUACUUUUUGGGUUUUAAAUCCUUCAUGAUUCCAAGUGAUUAGUUAGUUCAGUUGCAGGUGCAGGAAACAUUUCUUAAGCGUCAUGAUAGGAUUUCUUAGUUACUGAUUACUUUUCAUAUUUGCUGAAAUCGGCUUGUUUAAUUACCUGUUAUACCUUUUAUGGUGCAGAAUGUAGCAUCCUGUCAAGAAGAAGUAUUGUGUGCUAAAUUCUACCAGUUUAUUUCUUGUCAAUACAUUACGGUGAUACUGCGCUCUGUCUCAGAAAUAAUCAAAGCUAUAGUUGACGUGCCUUUUCUUAUUAAAUAUAUGUUGAAGUUUGGAUACCGUUGCAUAUAUAGCUAUAUAGAAUGGAAUAAACUUAUCCUACUGUGGAACAUAGUUAUGCUUUGAUCUUAUUAUGAGAAUAAGAUAUGUAGACGAAAAUGAGUGACGGAAGCAUGAAUACGUAUAUGUUAUGCAUCAAUUGCCAACCGGAAUUGCUAUGAUAUUGCCUCACUAGAUCUGAUUCAAUGUUUUACCUCUACCACCUUCUUAACUUUCUGUGUCCAACACCCCCCCCCACCCCUCCUUUUCCUUCUCGGGGAGCCUGGAAUUUGGCUUCGGCACCUAUCCUGUGAGACCCUGCUAAUAUCUAGCUGAAACCUAAUGUAACAAUUUUAGAUGAAGUUAGGUUCUUAACUUCCUUAGAACUUGCUGAGCUGCUUCUCUUUUGUUGGGAAGCAUGUCCUUUAUUUUCUCAUUUCCUGGUGAUUAUAUACGAUAUUAAGCGUGAUUUAGCAGACUUAUGGCAUUAUGGAACAUUAUUCAUAAAGAUGAUACCGGUGAUUGCAUCUUUGUGCUUACUAAAUUUAUUGCUUGGAGCUUCUCAGUCACUUUGAAGAUUUAAAUGCCUUUUUUUCCUUUUGGGUUUGGUUUUUCACGCUGACAAUUCCUUGUCCGAGACGCUACAUAUUUUCUAAUUAUUCUGAUUGGUACCGACAAUCAUAACCUCUAAUUUUUGUUGUUUUUCUAAAGCUUGUUUUUUGUCUGUGUCGAUGCACUUCCAUUGUUAACUAUGAAUAUUGCAUGUCUGUGAACAAUUAAGAUUUUUCACUUCAUAAUGAGGAAUCUCUUAAAUGAGCCAUGCUCUUUGAAUAGGAAUAACUUUAUGGUGUUUUCAGUUCUUCACACUUUAUGGGCCUUAUUUUACUUAUAUGUUAGCCUCUUUCGGAUGUAUUCUUUUUUAUUGCAUCUAUUAGUGAGUAUGCAUCUUAAAAGCAAGCUGAACGGCUAGAAUUAGGACCUUGGUGACAUGUCUUGACUCAAGACUGUUAAUUCUUGAUUGUCGUAUUAAUACUGGAGCCACGUAGCAGAAGUAUCAAACUAGUGAACUCUCAAAGAUUGGUAUGACAAGAUGGAACAUAGAACCAAGCAUGUUGUGGCAGAAAGCUUACAAACUAGAACUUAGUGGAAAGUUAUUAGGAGACCUUUUAAAGAACUUCAAUACUCUGGUAAUGUUCAAAGUUCAAACUUAAAAUCUGAAGGUGUGAUCUGCUACUGCAAUUUGAUUAAGGUCAUGAAAUUUUUGCAAGUGUUGCAACCGUAACGUGUCACGCGAACAAAAUUGUUGCAAGCUUUUCAAUUAACAUUGUUGUUGAGGGACUCGUUCCUUCAAUGUUGUGGAUAAGAGUUAGUAAUGAACAAUAAUAGUUGCUCAGUGCUUAUGCAAUCCUAUUUGUAGAGAGAGAGAGGGAGAGAGGGAGAGAGGAAGAAUUCACAUAGUAUCGCCUAUGUUGAGAUUCAAGCCUUGGUUCCCAACAACAUUACUCUUCUCUUCGACUUCUAGACUAUCCCAUUGAGGGUGUUGGAAAUUUUGUGAAAGAUUCCUGUGAAAAGUAUAUGGCAUAUGGCUAUUAUGGGACAUUUAUUCCUCUAGAGACAUAGUUAUCUUCCCGGGCCGAGGGUCUACCAAAAAUAGCCUCUUUGCAUUCUUAAAAGUAAGGUUAAGGAUUGCGUAUGCUCUACCCUCCCCAAACCCCACUUGUGGGACUACACUGGGUAUGUUGUUGUACACAUAGUUAUCUUAUCAAAAAAAAAUUCCUCUAGAGAUAGUUCUGAUCUAAUAGCAUCCUCCAGAAGUAAUUCCACCAUUGCUUUUUGCUAAAAUUAUAGGCUAAAGUUCCUCAGAUUACUUUGAGGUUUGAAGUCCUUUCUUUCCUUUUGGGUUAAACAAUUGGACAGACUUUAGAGUCUUCGUCGAACUGUAGUCAGCACGAAAUAUCAUUAGAUGCCUGGGCAACAAUUAAGUUGUUGGUUCAUUAUGAUAAAACUACCAAAUGAACCUUGCUCCUAGCAUAGGAAUAAUUUAAUUUAUGUUUCUUAAAAGUCGAGUCUAACCGAACUGUUAAGUGUGAACACCUUGUUUGAAGUUGAUUAAUUUUUCUAACUUAAAAGAAGCGUAACCAAUUACUGUAAUAUCUACUUUUUUGUAUUUGUCUGCAAUAACUAUCUGUGCCCUUUAGCCAAAUAAUUAUUGUAAUCUUCUCUUUGUUUAUUUUGAGUUAAUGUAAUCUUCUGUUAUUCAAAAGUGGUAAAAUGCAUUUAUUACUAAGUGAAAACACUUCAUCAUUUCACACUUUCUGGUUGGUUAUAAAUGGUGAAAGAUUCAUAUCCUAACACAUGUGUUUAGUUUUUUUUAGAUCGAUCAAUCUCGUUCCUUUUUCUUUCUUAGAUGCUAGAAAUGGUGGUCCGUCUCAUCAAAUGAUAAUCUUUCAUGUUAUAUGUAAGGAGAGUCACAAACCUGACAAAUAUGUGUGACAAUCUCUAAAAGAAACAACGACAACAACAACAACCCAGUGAGAUCCCCCAGGUGGGGUUUGGGGAGGGUAGUGUGUACACAGACCUUACCCCUACUCCGGGGAGUAGAGAGGCUGUUUCCGAUAAUUAAAGAAAGAAUACAGUAUUUCCUGGUGUUUAGAUAAACUUUUGUCAUUUCAUUUACAAAAGCAUGCCCUGUGUGUGAAAAAAAUGUCAUACAUUUUCUUGAAAAGACACAUUUGUCAGGCUUGUGACUUUCCUUUAAUGGCAUGGAAAAUAUUAUCAACUGGUGAGUGGACCUCCAUUCAUCUGAGUUGGAAAACGGAAUGGGUCAUUGAUCGGAUACUUCUCCGGUGCUGGAGCUGGAGCACUUUCACCGAUUUUCAAGAUUCCAGUGAUGUUUUUGAGUCGGUAAAUUUUAUUUUUUUUCCUUUAGAACCCUAGAUUGAUUAACCCUUUGAGUGAAUCUUAUCCUUUUCCAUGAUGAUUCUUGUUUUUUUUUGUGUGUGCAGAUUUUGGAACUUUAUUAACUGCUUCGAUUUGAUUGCCAAAUCUUGAAUCCUAAAUUGCUUUUAGAAGAAGCUAGGAAGAUUUUGAUAAUGUAAUUUCUGGAAAUUGUUCGUUUAUGGACAGAUAUGAUGUAUGUAUCUAUAAAUUGGAACUCUUAAAAGAUUAAUGUAGCUUAAUAGUGCAUCCAUGAAACCAUAGAUGAAACUAGUUUGAAUUAUUUUACCGAUUAGUAAGAUCUAUUGCAGGAAAAGGAAAUGUUUCUAAAUCUCCAUGAUAGGAUUGCUUAGUAAAUGAUUUCAUAUUCAUCUUUGAUAAAAUUAUCUUGUUACUGACCUGCUAUUUUUAGCUUCUCUUUCUUAGCAUGUUUAUGUCAGUAUUAUCUUAUUCUGUAUCUUGUUACUUGGUGGACUUUGGGUUUCCUUCAACACUUUCACAUACGGAUGGCUCAUUUGAAGGAGUUUCUCCUGAAACGAGAGCCUGUCCAAAUGUAAAACCUGUCUGGAUACGUCCUGCUAUUCUAGAUUCAUAAGUGUUUGAGGACAAGCGGCCACUCUGCAAUUAUCUUUGGUAUAUGUAAGGAAUAGAUUGCAUGAUGAUGAUAUAUCUGAACAACGUGGAGAAGGGAGACUCGUAAUCCUGAAGUGUUAUCAGGUUUUGGUGCACAAGGUAGCAUACCGUUGAGGAGAAAUUUUACGUACUAAGUUUUACAAUUUAUAUACGUGUAGGCCAUAGUGUUCUCCCUUGUCUCAUAAAUAGUCAAAACCAUAGGUGGCAUCCCUUUCCUUGUUAAAUGUAUAUAGAAGCUUUUGAUACUCUUAUGUAUAAGUAGCUCUUUAGAACAGAACAAAGUUGACCUACUGUAGAAAUGGUGGUCCGUCUUAUCGAAUGAUACAAUUCUUGUUAUAUUAUAAGGAGAAUUAUAGACCAGAUAAAUAUGUCUUCCAUAUUUUCUUCUAGCAAUUUUUCUUCUUUUGCAUACUUUAUCACUGAUUUUCUUUGGUCUCGUAAUGAUUAUUCCAAUCCAUUUCUCAUUAUUUUGACCUUUUUAUUUAUGAAGUCUCUUGUGAUUACAAGCGAUUAUCAAGUUUAGUUGCAGGUAUGUGGAAUGUUUCUCAAGGUUCAUGAUAUGAUUAUUUAGUUACUGAUUAUUUUCAUAUUUGCUGAAAUUGACUUGUUAAUUUACCUGUUAUACAUGUUAUGGUGCACAAUGUAGCAGCCUGUCAAGAAAAAGUUUUAUGUGCUGGAUUAAAAAAUAAUGGUCAGCCUGGUGCGCUAAGCUCCCGUUAUGUGCGGGGUUCGGGGAAAGACUGGACCACAAGGGUCUAUUAUACGCAACCUUACUAUGCAUAGCUGCAAGAGGCUGUUUCCACAGCUCGAACCCGUGACUUUCUGGUCACAUCGCAGCAACUUUACCAAGGCCCCCCUUCUUUUACGUGCUAGAUUGAGGUAGUUUAUUUCUUGGGCAAUAAGUUAAGGUGAUAGUAUGCUCUCAUAUCUCAGAAUAGUCAAUGCUAUAGCUGGCUCCCCUUUCUUAUUAAAUAUAUGUAUAUGUAAAAAUUUGGAUGAUCUUGUGUGUAAUUAGCUAUUUACAGCCGAAUAAACUCGAUCUACUGCACAAUUUUAGAGUUUCUGUAGACAUUUGGAGCAGAUUUCAUUGUCACUUUAGAACAUAAGUAUGCUUGUUCUAAUUAUGAAAAUAAGAUGUGUAGAUGAAAAUCUGUGACAGAGACAUGAAUGCAUCUACGUUAGGUAUCAAUUGCAUAUCAGAAUUGCAACGAUAUUGCCUCAGCAGAUCUGAUGCAAUGCUUUAGCUCUAGCACUUUCUUAGCUCUUUGGGCGUAUUUGCCUAUAUAUUGCUGUUAUGGAACAUUUGUUAAUCUAGAGACAUAAUGUUGAUAGUUCUGAGCUACUAGCCUUCUCCACAAGUGAUUUCACCUUGAAAUCCUUUCUUUCCUUUUGGGUUAGAGGUUAAGGUUGUCAGCACCAAUCCUAUAUCAUUUUUCAUCUGUCUUAUCAGUGGAAGGCAUGGUUUUCCUUAUUCUACUAUCUUUUGCUCCAGCUCUUUUCCUUUAUUAUGUUUUGUGCAUUACUUGAGUGCAGAAAUGAAUCUAAUUUCACAUGCUGUAGGUGUAAACUGCCGAGUGAUAUCUUCAGAUUCAACAAUAUGCCGUGAAGGAAAAUCCUAGUACUUGAAAAGCAUCCAGAAAGGAGAUCAUCGAAAGAAUCUCAACCUGCUUCGCGAGGGCCCAAAAUAUAUGCCGGCAGCUGCUUUUCAAACCAGUCUGUUCUUCCAUUCAGCUACUGAAAAUGAUAGGGAGCUAUCAAGGGUGACAGCCACGCUGCCUCUUCAUUCCUCAUUUGGUUCACCCACAUAUUAGGCAUAACUGGUUAAAGGCACGUAAUUACCUAUUCGGAUUAGCUACAUUUGAUUCGACUGGUAGUAAUUCAUUCAAGACGCCGCUUGCACUUAUCUUCCUAGAGUUGGAAUUCAAGAUGAUUUCCAAUUUUUCAUGUUCAUGCCAUUUUCAUGAAUUCAGGCGACAGUGCUCGAAUCGCUUAAAAUUUUGUGGGCUUAUUAGAAACGACCUAAUGAAUAGUAGUCAUUGUUUUGUCAUGAUCAUUCCUCGUUUUUUGGUACUUUUAAGGUCAAAAAAUAAAAAUUCAGGACAA
Long non-coding RNA from Nicotiana attenuata, 6756 nucleotides. RefSeq lists it as uncharacterized. The record is from RefSeq and is a predicted model, not a curated record. NCBI's taxonomy places the organism in Eukaryota, Viridiplantae, Streptophyta, Magnoliopsida, Solanales, Solanaceae. The transcript has 2 exons.